Molecule: transfer RNA, 69 nt
Filed under: Moringua javanica (Java spaghetti eel)
Lineage: Eukaryota; Metazoa; Chordata; Actinopteri; Anguilliformes; Moringuidae
Also listed under: 3 other names
Description: tRNA-Met
Rfam family: tRNA
About the family: Transfer RNA (tRNA) molecules are approximately 80 nucleotides in length.
Source: RNAcentral
AGUAAAGUCAGCUAAAUAAGCUCUCGGGCCCAUACCCCGAACAUGUUGGUUAAAACCCUUCCUUUACUA